CGGUGAAAUGCGUAGAUAUUAGGAGGAACACCAGUGGCGAAGGCGACUUUCUGGACUGUAACUGACGCUGAGGCACGAAAGCGUGGGGAGCAAACAGGAUUAGAUACCCUGGUAGUCCACGCUGUAAACGAUGGAUACUAGGUGUAGGGGGUAUCGACCCCCCCUGUGCCGGAGUUAACGCAAUAAGUAUCCCGCCUGGGGAGUACGGCCGCAAGGCUGAAACUCAAAGGAAUUGACGGGGGCCCGCACAAGCAGCGGAGCAUGUGGUUUAAUUCG
Molecule: ribosomal RNA, 276 nt
Filed under: Ruminiclostridium papyrosolvens
Lineage: Bacteria; Bacillati; Bacillota; Clostridia; Eubacteriales; Oscillospiraceae
Also listed under: 1 other name
Description: partial 16S ribosomal RNA
Rfam family: Bacterial small subunit ribosomal RNA
Source: RNAcentral